UUUCUUUCUUCUCUUCUUCUUUCUUAUUUCUUAUUCUUUUCUUCUUCUCGUCUCUUCUUCUUCCCUUUCUUCUGUUGCCGACGAUUGUGAGUGAGAUUUAAGAAUUCUGUUAAGAGAAUCAAUCGACGAGGAGGAACUGAUGCAGUAGAAGUUGUUAUUGGUGUUGACGAAUAGUUGAUGGUGGUGUUGAUGUAUUAUUUAGCAGAUUUAGGAUUUCUCACAGAGAUAAUCUAAAGUUCGAAAUUAGAAAUGGAUUCAGGGGUUCUUGCUAGAACUGCAGAUGGGGUUUGUGAAUAUUAGUUAUGGAAUUGAGGAUGAAAUCAGAGAUUUGAGUAAUCGGUUAAUUAGAUUUGAUAUGAGAUGAAUUUGGAAUUGAGAUUAGGAGCAGAAGAGUUGAAUCAACAAUAUUUGAUGAUUUAAGAAGAAUCAGAUGGAAUUAACGGGUGGGUUUUGGUUUAAAUUGAAGUUGUGAAGUUGAUUUGGUAUAGAAUCAUAGAGUUAGCAUUAUGAAUUUGAGUUCGUACGCAAUUGAAGAGCAUACUGAGUAUUGGCAGAUGAACAACAAAGAGGGUUUUGUUGAAUCGAUGUGUUGGAGUUGAUUUGAUUAAGGAUUAGCAAAUUAGGGUUUCUCAGGAAGUUGUUUAGAAGUUUGAUUAGUGACGAAUAAGAGGGAAUUAAACAUGGGUUUAAUCAGAAUUAGAGCUUGAGGUUGAAGUAUAGCGUAAAUUGGAAUUAAGGUUUGUUCUUGAGUAUUUUGGAUUAGUAGAAGCAGGGGAUAUGAUUCUGGAAAUGGAUUAUAGGUGGAUGUAUGGUUUGGGUUGAUGUGAAGAAUGAAUUGAAUCGGUGGGUUGCUGGAGUUUAAGAAGAAUUGCAGAAUUUAGUUAAGCAAGAAGGGGAGUUGAGUUGUAUUGCUGGAAUGGAAUUAAAUUGAGGUAAUUGUUCUUCUCAAUAUGAAUUAGUUCCAUUUCAUUAUUGAAUUUAUAAGUUUGUCAAUGAAGUAUGAAAUAUGUUUGAGGUAUAGAAGUUGAUGUUGAUUGUGGAAUUGGGUUUAUGAAUGUAAACUAGGAACUGCCAGAAGUGUUAAUGAUGUUGUUGUGAACUAAAUUGGAUGCUAAUGCAAAGUGUUGUGGUUGUGGUGAUGCUGCACAGUUGGUGGUGUUGGAGUGGUCUGGUUUGAGACAGAUCAUAGGUUGGUUUCAGUUAUAGAGUUUGAAGGUGAAUUUUGGAGAAUGAAUUGUGCCGGUGAGAUGCAAAUGAUAGUGGUUUGAAGUUCUGGUGAUAUUAGUUGAGAUGGUGUUAUGUAGUUGUGGGGAAGUUCUUGUUUUACAAGACCGGAAGGUGUUUUGAACUGCAGGAGAUAAGGGAUGUGCAGUGUUGUUUGUUGUCGCAAUUAAAGUGUAAACUAGAAGUUAGUAGUGUUAUAGUUAUUAGAACUUGAGUGUACUUGGGAGAUGUUUGAGAAGAAGCUGAUUGUAAGCUGUUUUGGCAGCGGCCUUAGUGAAAGACUGCAACUGCAGAUUAAGUUAGUCUAUUAACAACGAUCGAUUCAAAGGAUGAACCACUUGAUCGUGGAUCUCGAGGUCGGCUUGGCUUGUCAUCGAAAAGAGUUUGCGAGUUCGGAAUUGUCGACAUCAAUACUCACGAUUAGGUGUGGAUUUGCGAGUUCGGAAUUGCACAACCAUAGUAUACAUUGUUUGAGGAAGGAGUUUGUCCAUAUACAUGUUUGAGUAUUACCAGUGACUUAGUCACUUUGUUGUUUGGGAAAAUAUGUAUUCUUUUCUAAAUCUUACUCUUGAUUUCUUUAAAAUUGAAUGUUAAUCCUGAUGGGCACCCUUUCUAGGGAUGAUGUGUUCACCCAUUCCCACUUUCAGUUUCAGAGACAGAUUAGAGUUGCGCAGCGAAAGCUUCAAGGAGUUGAGUCCGUCUGUUAGAUUAUUUUUGGCUGUGUUUAUUAUGUUGCAUAUUAUAUUUAUAAACCAAAUGACUAUUGUAUAUGUAUCAUUUGAGAUAAGUUCUUGUAUUUGUAUAUUUCUGAGCGGGGCUAGUUUUGGGUUAAGUUUUGUUACUGAUUUCCUAAUUGAAUGCUUAAAUUUAUGAUUUGGUUUCUUAA
Long non-coding RNA from Papaver somniferum (opium poppy), 2110 nucleotides. RefSeq lists it as uncharacterized. NCBI's taxonomy places the organism in Eukaryota, Viridiplantae, Streptophyta, Magnoliopsida, Ranunculales, Papaveraceae. The transcript has 3 exons. The record is from RefSeq and is a predicted model, not a curated record.